RNAcentral lists this ribosomal RNA (254 nucleotides) under uncultured bacterium. RNAcentral describes it as "partial small subunit ribosomal RNA". It matches the Rfam family "Bacterial small subunit ribosomal RNA", at positions 26 to 285 of the family's 1533-position model. The record is from RNAcentral.
AGGACGAACGCUGGCGGCGUGCUUAACACAUGCAAGUCGAGCGGAAAGGCCCUUCGGGGUACUCGAGCGGCGAACGGGUGAGUAACACGUGAGUAAUCUGCCCCUAGCUCUGGGAUAGCUCCGGGAAACCGGGAUUAAUACCAGAUACGACCACUUUAGACAUCUGCUGUGGUGGAAAGAAUUUCGGCUAGGGAUGAGCUCGCGGCCUAUCAGCUUGUUGGCGAGGUAACGGCUCACCAAGGCGACGACGGGUA